CCAUGACCCACAUAAUGAUGGAUAUAAAAUUCAAACCAAAAUCAAAUCAACCUUCAUUUUCAACUUCUGAGAAAGUAAAAAGAAAAGGCCAAAAAAGAAGAAAAAUGGAAAACGGGAACAAUAGUAUCAUAUCACGGGAGAAGCUUGACCAGGUGGCCAGCUGGGUGGGCGCGACGGUCUCCACCGCCUUCUUUUCCUCCCUCGAGCGCUUCUCUUGCGUCAACCUCGCCACCACCGACUUCGACGACGAGGACGAGGACGAGGCCGCAGACCGCCCUUUCACCCUCACCAAUCACAGCGACCCUCCAAACGACGUUGCUGAGCUCCCCGUCUGAUCUCCCCCUCUCUGUGUGGUAUUGUUGUUACACUAGAUCUUGGUUUUAUGUGUAAUUAGGGUUUAUGAAAACAGCUUCUGGUUCUGAAUUUUAUGCGAGUCUGUCAAUGUGUAAUGUUUGUCGAUGACGAUUGUAUUUAGCAUUUUUAUAGAACAUAUUGAAAUUGUUAAAUAAUAAAGUUAUUUCUUUAAUCCGGAGGUGGUUAUUUAUGCUUGUUUCAUUGGAAUUGCAGUUUGUUUGGUUGCAUUGUUCAUGCAUUGUACGGACUGAAGAUCCAAUUUUAACAUUGGAUAGGCUAAGCUUCAGUAAACCCCCGAUUUACAAUGAUUGGAAUUCAAAAAUUUUGUUGAG
RNAcentral lists this long non-coding RNA (686 nucleotides) under Prunus dulcis (almond). RNAcentral describes it as "sRNA ncRNA". Lineage: Eukaryota; Viridiplantae; Streptophyta; Magnoliopsida; Rosales; Rosaceae. The record is from RNAcentral.